CCUACGGGUGGCUGCAGUGGGGAAUAUUGGACAAUGGGCGAAAGCCUGAUCCAGCCAUGCCGCGUGUGUGAAGAAGGCCUUCGGGUUGUAAAGCACUUUCAGUGGGGAAGAAAGCCUUGGGGCUAAUACCCUCGAGGAAGGACAUCACCCACAGAAGAAGCACCGGCUAACUCCGUGCCAGCAGCCGCGGUAAUACGGAGGGUGCGAGCGUUAAUCGGAAUUACUGGGCGUAAAGCGCGCGUAGGCGGUCUGAUAAGUCGUUUGGAAAGCCCCGGGCUCAACCUGGGAACGGCAUCCGGAACUGUCAGGCUAGAGUGCAGGAGAGGAAGGUAGAAUUCCCGGUGUAGCGGUGAAAUGCGUAGAGAUCGGGAGGAAUACCAGUGGCGAAGGCGGCCUUCUGGACUGACACUGACGCUGAGGUGCGAAAGCGUGGGUAGCAAACAGGAUUAGAUACCCGUGUAGUC
This 464-nucleotide ribosomal RNA is filed under the name Vreelandella stevensii. Its description in RNAcentral is "partial 16S ribosomal RNA". It matches the Rfam family "Bacterial small subunit ribosomal RNA", at positions 338 to 795 of the family's 1533-position model. Lineage: Bacteria; Pseudomonadati; Pseudomonadota; Gammaproteobacteria; Oceanospirillales; Halomonadaceae. The record is from RNAcentral.